GGCAUGGUGGCUCAGUGGUUAGAGCGCAUGCCUCAUGAACGGGAGGUCGUGGGUUCGAACCCCGGCCGAGUCA
RNAcentral lists this transfer RNA (73 nucleotides) under Strongylocentrotus purpuratus (purple sea urchin). It matches the Rfam family "tRNA". From Rfam's summary of the family: Transfer RNA (tRNA) molecules are approximately 80 nucleotides in length. Their secondary structure includes four short double-helical elements and three loops (D, anti-codon, and T loops). Further hydrogen bonds mediate the characteristic L-shaped molecular structure. tRNAs have two regions of fundamental functional importance: the anti-codon, which is responsible for specific mRNA codon recognition, and the 3' end, to which the tRNAs corresponding amino acid is attached (by aminoacyl-tRNA synthetases). tRNAs cope with the degeneracy of the genetic code in two manners: having more than one tRNA (with a specific anti-codon) for a particular amino acid; and 'wobble' base-pairing, i.e. permitting non-standard base-pairing at the 3rd anti-codon position. The record is from Rfam by way of RNAcentral. Lineage: Eukaryota; Metazoa; Echinodermata; Echinoidea; Camarodonta; Strongylocentrotidae.